AAAUUUUUAUCAGACAGGCACUGGAUAAAAUGAAUUUCCCGAAAAAUACCGAUCCGAAGUUUUGACUUUCAGAGGAUACAUGGAUGUUUUUUUACUCGUUCUUCAAAAUCUGAAAACUAUAAUCCAUUUGAAUUGGGCUUUGGCCUUUCAGUUCUGGGCUUUUGUUGGAUUCUGCACGCCACAUGCCCAAUGCUCGUGACUUUGUCAACAAUGGCAUCCUUGCAACGAAAAUAUAUAAAUUAAGUUUCGUUUCGUUUAAUUAACACUUUGUUCAGUUUAGGAAACUUUACCGGAAAGAUCUAGACAUUUUUAUCCACUUGCCCAUUCUUUAGAAAGAAAAUUGUCCCAUAUGCAGUAUAGCAUCAAGAUAGAAGGGGUGUCUAAAUUUAGCUUAACUAUCAAGCCAACUAAAAUUAGAAACGUCGUUAUAGAGCUUGCAUUCAACGUCAAGCUUCUUCUAUAGAAUAUCAAAGGAGUCCAUUCAACAAAUUCUAAAUCAAUCAAAAUUUUCAAUCUUUAAAAGCUUAAACCAUGUCCAUUUGCUUUACUUCUUUUGGCCGGUUACCACUUUCCUCUUCCAUGAUCAGAGACCACGCUCUUUUUUUAGUAAAAAUUAUCAUUUGCGAAUGAUAAAAAAAAUAAAUAAAUUGAAAAGCAAACCUUCUUUCCCAAAUUGGAAACUCGCAAUUCUCUUUCUUUCUAUCCCAUUGAGGAAAUUUCUUAUUUCUUAGUUUAUGUUAUGCAUGACAAAUAAGCAGUUUUGACCCAAACAAAAAAAAGGCACUAUGAUCAACAGCCAUUUAUGGUUGAGUGAUGUGAAUGCAAUCCAUCACAAUCUUCUUCACCUGCACAUAAUAGAAGACUAUUUUAUUGUCGGUGCUCCAUCAUGUUUAAUAAAUUUUUUUUUUCCUUUUUAUCGUCUUUCUUCUUAAAGGAUAUGAUCGAACUGCUAUUUUGUCAAAAAUGAUCAAUUAAGUGCUUUUCAAUCUAAGCAAAGAAAAGCUUUUUACGUAGUAACGGAAGAGAUUCUCGAGAAGUUUGAUAUGUUAAGGUAUCCCUUAUGUGAUGUGAAGUUGCGAGGUUCUUGUCAUUCUCUUGAAAUAUAUAUAUAUAUAUAUAUAUAUAUAGAGAGAGAGAGAGAGAGAGAGAGAGAGAGAGAGUUAUUAUCUAGUUAGGUUAAUAUAUGAUACUUUAUAAUGUAUUAUAGUACCACCUUAUUUGUACAAGAAAGAUUCUACUUAUUUCUAAAAAGAUGAAAGAUGUUAAUUUUGAGUUGAUGAAAGAAAUGAUAUUCCUACAAUGACAGUAAAAAAGAAUUUUAAAUUAAAUUAAACGACUAAUCACUGUUAUUUUUUAGGCAAAGAAGCGGUAAGAGUGUUGCCUUUUUAGGGCGGAGGUAACAAAAGAAAAAAUUGGAGUAAAAUCCAGUAAUUCUCUUAGCCGCAACAAAUCAAUCAUGCAUCUCUAACCAUGUCAAAUAAUCAAAAAAACUUUCCUUACUUAACCAACAAAGUCAUAAAAUACACAGAUAUAGACAUUUAAAACACCUAAUUAUGGGCCAAACAAAGUCAGAAUCAAAUUGAAUAAUGCAUCUACUUAAGGCAAAUCCCACCCAAAUAUCCAACCUAAUUGUGUGUAAGUCAUGACCUGUAUUUUCCUUGUCAGUUGCCACAUCAAGAUGGGAACUUUGAACGCGACUGAUCAUAUAACGAAAGCUAGAUGAAAGAUGGUAAUGUUUGUCCAAACUUUUUUAACUUUAAUUUCUAUAAUUUCAAAUUUAAAAAAUUUUCCAUUCAUAUAUACAUAUAUACGCCAAUAAUGAAACCUCAAGAAGCAAGAACCAUUUUUUUUUAUUUAGAGAUAAAUAUGAUAUUCACAAUUCUCAACAACAUGAAUAAAAAAAAAUAAAAAAAAGGUGAGAACAAUAGAGAAGCAAGGAAGAAAGGGAACAAACAACCUUACCAAACAGGUAGAGCGCAUUAUUUUAUUAUCAUCCCCCUUUUGCUUUCCACAUUAAUUAUUCCAAUCCAAAAAGGGUACGCAUGGCUAUAAACCAUUGGCUUUGUCGUGGCCAAUUUAAAGCCUCUACACCUAUUUUGUUUUUUUUUUUUUUUUAUCCCCAGCAAGCUUUCUAAACUUGGAAAGUCUCGGAAACACACUUUAAUUAUUCAAUAAUAACAAUAAUAAUAUAAUUAACCCUAGAGAGCAAAAGAGGACCAGCAUUUGCACUUCUCACUAUUGCAACACAUGCAUCACGCUGCUGCAGUGCCAUGACAGGACCUGUGAACAAUAAUGCAAUGUCCCCGAAAUUAAUAUCCUGUGACAUUUCAAUUCAUUGGUUUUGGUUUAUCAGUUGGGUACCGUCAUAACAUAUGAAACCUACAAGAACCGAAACUUCACCAAGAUUGCUGUAUGCAUGGGCUUGGCAGAAGAUGGGGCUACGGCCUUCAGGUUCAUUAUUAUUUUGUUUAUCUCAAUGAGAAAUAUAUAUCCAGCAGAGUCUCCUUUGUUUUGUUUGGUUUUGGGGUUUCUCUCGACGAACUCCUAUCACCAACAAAGGUGAAAGCAGCUUUCGAUUUGACAUUAUUUGUGGAUAUGAGCUUCGAGGUUCCAAAUCGGGUAAUAAAUGAUUAUGACAAAAAAAUAAGUCACAAGAAAGGUUUUCAAGAAAGGAUUUGAUUAAUUUGUCUAGAGUACGAAAUAAUUCAC
Molecule: long non-coding RNA, 2709 nt
Filed under: Citrus sinensis (sweet orange)
Lineage: Eukaryota; Viridiplantae; Streptophyta; Magnoliopsida; Sapindales; Rutaceae
Description: long non-coding RNA (CSIN_LNC005095)
Source: RNAcentral